UGCUUAUAUCUGAACUAGCAGCGUUUAAAACAAUGGCCAGUACAGCUAUGUUAGAUAGAUAGCGAGCUGGCAAUGCUGAAAGGCAACAGUGUUUUCUGCUAACUAGGCAGUUAGUGUAUAAAAAAGCUUUAUUUAUUUUUAUUUAUUAAACUUUCCCAUUUCAAAUAAAAAUGGCUCAGUGGCUACUAGCUAACAUUAGCUAGCUAGACCACUGGUGGUGGGACUGACAAGCCCACUACCUUUACAACAAGGAGGACAUCGGGACAUACCCUUAGGAUCUACGUGAAGGAGUAUGAGCUGGAGGGGCAGCUGUCACCUGCAUGGGUGAAAAAGAAGUGGGAGAGCCUGAAGCAAAAAAUACACGGAUUUGAAAGCUCCUCCCCACCGGAGUCAGCACGGAGGGAGGGAAGGCCACAGCUGCAUCCUAGAAGUGGUAUACGGUGAUGGAUGAGGCGCUGCAGGGGCUGCCACUCCAUCAUCCCACUGGUUAUCAUCUCCUCAUCCUCCCAAGGUGCAGCUGUGGGCUCCUCUCCCUCCCAGAAGGGUCCAGAUUUGAAGUCGCAAGAAAGAGAUGACUGCCAGGGAGGCACGUCUUAUGGCCAUUUUAGAGGCCAUGAUUAAUAAGUAGGUGUAGUAUGUAUUUUGGAUGUAUUUUAUUUAUAGUUACUAAUUUAUAAAUGUUCUACUCUUCUUGGUGAAGUCCUUCUUUUUUUAAACACAAAGUGGAUUUCGGUUCUCUCAUUGAAAAGUAUUUCUUGUUUGUCAUAAACAUUUUUAUUUGAUAGCAGUUGAAAGAAAAAAGGAACCCGCACACUGCUUUUUAUUGAAGCUUACAUGUCUGUCUCUUGGCCUAAGUCAGAGCUUUUUGCUCUACUAAACUAAAUAAA
Long non-coding RNA from Coregonus clupeaformis (lake whitefish), 887 nucleotides. RefSeq lists it as uncharacterized. NCBI's taxonomy places the organism in Eukaryota, Metazoa, Chordata, Actinopteri, Salmoniformes, Salmonidae. The transcript is spliced from 3 exons. The record is from RefSeq and is a predicted model, not a curated record.